This 530-nucleotide non-coding RNA is filed under the name Pseudoponticoccus marisrubri. RNAcentral describes it as "Ponticoccus sp. SJ5A-1 Bacterial large subunit ribosomal RNA". It matches the Rfam family "Bacterial large subunit ribosomal RNA", at positions 15 to 565 of the family's 2925-position model. The record is from Rfam by way of RNAcentral. Lineage: Bacteria; Pseudomonadati; Pseudomonadota; Alphaproteobacteria; Rhodobacterales; Roseobacteraceae.
GGGCGUUUGGUGGAUGCCUUGGCAGCAAGAGGCGAUGAAGGACGUGAUACUCUGCGAUAAGCCGUGAGGAGCCGAGAAUAGGCUUUGAUCCACGGAUCUCCGAAUGGGGCAACCCACUGGAUAUUCUGUUAUUGUCACCAUCGGUGAUCAAUAACGGGGUAACACCAGUACUUAAUUCCUGAAUACAUAGGGUUUUAAGAGCAAACCCGGGGAACUGAAACAUCUAAGUACCCGGAGGAAAGGAAAUCAAUGAUACUCCCCUAGUAGUGGCGAGCGAACGGGGACCAGCCGAGCCUGAGACGUGACCGGAAUGGCCUGGGAAGGCCAGCCAUAGCGGGUGACAGCCCCGUACGGGAAGCGUCGAUGGACAUAUCAAGUAGGGCGGGACACGUGAAAUCCUGUCUGAAGAUCGGAGGACCACCUUCGAAGGCUAAGUACUCCUUGCUGACCGAUAGCGAACCAGUACCGUGAGGGAAAGGUGAAAAGCACCCCGACGAGGGGAGUGAAACAGUACCUGAAACCGAGCGCCU